GGGUUGUGAGGUUAAGCGACUAAGCGUACACGGUGGAUGCCCUGGCAGUCAGAGGCGAUGAAGGACGUGCUAAUCUGCGAUAAGCGUCGGUAAGGUGAUAUGAACCGUUAUAACCGGCGAUUUCCGAAUGGGGAAACCCAGUGUGAUUCGUCACACUAUCAUUAACUGAAUCCAUAGGUUAAUGAGGCGAACCGGGGGAACUGAAACAUCUAAGUACCCCGAGGAAAAGAAAUCAACCGAGAUUCCCCCAGUAGCGGCGAGCGAACGGGGAGCAGCCCAGAGCCUGAAUCAGUGUGUGUGUUAGUGGAAGCGUCUGGAAAGGCGCGCGAUACAGGGUGACAGCCCCGUACACAAAAAUGCACAUGCUGUGAGCUCGAUGAGUAGGGCGGGACACGUGGUAUCCUGUCUGAAUAUGGGGGGACCAUCCUCCAAGGCUAAAUACUCCUGACUGACCGAUAGUGAACCAGUACCGUGAGGGAAAGGCGAAAAGAACCCCGGCGAGGGGAGUGAAAAAGAACCUGAAACCGUGUACGUACAAGCAGUGGGAGCCUCUUAAUGGGGUGACUGCGUACCUUUUGUAUAAUGGGUCAGCGACUUAUAUUCUGUAGCAAGGUUAACCGAAUAGGGGAGCCGAAGGGAAACCGAGUCUUAACUGGGCGUUAAGUUGCAGGGUAUAGACCCGAAACCCGGUGAUCUAGCCAUGGGCAGGUUGAAGGUUGGGUAACACUAACUGGAGGACCGAACCGACUAAUGUUGAAAAAUUAGCGGAUGACUUGUGGCUGGGGGUGAAAGGCCAAUCAAACCGGGAGAUAGCUGGUUCUCCCCGAAAGCUAUUUAGGUAGCGCCUCGUGAAUUCAUCUCCGGGGGUAGAGCACUGUUUCGGCAAGGGGGUCAUCCCGACUUACCAACCCGAUGCAAACUGCGAAUACCGGAGAAUGUUAUCACGGGAGACACACGGCGGGUGCUAACGUCCGUCGUGAAGAGGGAAACAACCCAGACCGCCAGCUAAGGUCCCAAAGUCAUGGUUAAGUGGGAAACGAUGUGGGAAGGCCCAGACAGCCAGGAUGUUGGCUUAGAAGCAGCCAUCAUUUAAAGAAAGCGUAAUAGCUCACUGGUCGAGUCGGCCUGCGCGGAAGAUGUAACGGGGCUAAACCAUGCACCGAAGCUGCGGCAGCGACGCUAUGCGUUGUUGGGUAGGGGAGCGUUCUGUAAGCCUGCGAAGGUGUACUGUGAGGUAUGCUGGAGGUAUCAGAAGUGCGAAUGCUGACAUAAGUAACGAUAAAGCGGGUGAAAAGCCCGCUCGCCGGAAGACCAAGGGUUCCUGUCCAACGUUAAUCGGGGCAGGGUGAGUCGACCCCUAAGGCGAGGCCGAAAGGCGUAGUCGAUGGGAAACAGGUUAAUAUUCCUGUACUUGGUGUUACUGCGAAGGGGGGACGGAGAAGGCUAUGUUGGCCGGGCGACGGUUGUCCCGGUUUAAGCGUGUAGGCUGGUUUUCCAGGCAAAUCCGGAAAAUCAAGGCUGAGGCGUGAUGACGAGGCACUACGGUGCUGAAGCAACAAAUGCCCUGCUUCCAGGAAAAGCCUCUAAGCAUCAGGUAACAUCAAAUCGUACCCCAAACCGACACAGGUGGUCAGGUAGAGAAUACCAAGGCGCUUGAGAGAACUCGGGUGAAGGAACUAGGCAAAAUGGUGCCGUAACUUCGGGAGAAGGCACGCUGAUA
This 1720-nucleotide ribosomal RNA is filed under the name Escherichia coli. Its description in RNAcentral is "partial 23S ribosomal RNA". It matches the Rfam family "Bacterial large subunit ribosomal RNA", at positions 1 to 1756 of the family's 2925-position model. The record is from RNAcentral. Lineage: Bacteria; Pseudomonadati; Pseudomonadota; Gammaproteobacteria; Enterobacterales; Enterobacteriaceae.